This 260-nucleotide ribosomal RNA is filed under the name uncultured bacterium. Its description in RNAcentral is "partial 16S ribosomal RNA". It matches the Rfam family "Bacterial small subunit ribosomal RNA", at positions 1053 to 1319 of the family's 1533-position model. The record is from RNAcentral.
CGUCAGCUCGUGUCGUGAGAUGUUGGGUUAAGUCCCGCAACGAGCGCAACCCUUACGAAUAGUUGCUACGCAAGAGCACUCUAUUAGGACUGCCGUUGACAAAACGGAGGAAGGUGGGGAUGACGUCAAAUCAUCAUGCCCCUUAUGACCUGGGCUACACACGUAAUACAAUGGCGGUCAACAGAGGGAAGCAACGCCGCGAGGCCGAGCGAAUCCUCAAAAGCCGUCUCAGUUCGGAUUGCAGGCUGCAACUCGCCUGC